Molecule: long non-coding RNA, 383 nt
Organism: Cyprinus carpio (common carp)
Lineage: Eukaryota; Metazoa; Chordata; Actinopteri; Cypriniformes; Cyprinidae
Exons: 3
Source: RefSeq, a predicted model, not a curated record
AAACAUUAGAAGAGCUCCAGAAUGAUGAAAAAUUUACUGAGAUUGAAACCUUUUUGUCUAUCAGUAAGAAAAUAAUCUCAAACAGUAAUCUCUCUGAAUUUACCAACGAAGCUGCAAGUUUCAUACAACACAGUGAGUCAAGUUCUGGUGACUGGUUCUGGCCGCUUGUGAAGAGCGUGACGAUCAAGAUUCCAGACUGUCACAAACUCCUGGAGCACAUUGUACUUCUUGAUCUUCCUGGUACUGGAGACUGCAAUAAGAUUAGAGAUGACCUGUGGAAAACUAAACUGAGAGAGUGCUCUUCUGUGUGGAUUGUAAGCACCAUCAAUCGUGCAAAUCACUGACAGAGACCCCUAGGGGAUGUUAAAACACUGCAUUGAAGA